This 468-nucleotide ribosomal RNA is filed under the name uncultured bacterium. RNAcentral's name for it is "partial 16S ribosomal RNA". It matches the Rfam family "Bacterial small subunit ribosomal RNA", at positions 28 to 507 of the family's 1533-position model. The record is from RNAcentral.
GACGAACGCUGGCGGCGUGCUUAACACAUGCAAGUCGAACGGAAAGGCCCUGCUUUUGUGGGGUGCUCGAGUGGCGAACGGGUGAGUAACACGUGAGUAACCUGCCCUUGACUUUGGGAUAACUUCAGGAAACUGGGGCUAAUACCGGAUAGGAGCUCCUGCUGCAUGGUGGGGGUUGGAAAGUUUCGGCGGGUGGGGAUGGACUCGCGGCUUAUCAGCUUGUUGGUGGGGUAGUGGCUUACCAAGGCUUUGACGGGUAGCCGGCCUGAGAGGGUGAACGGGCACAGUGGGACUGAGAUACGGACCAGACUCGUACGGGAGGCAGCAGUGGGGAAUAUUGCACAAUGGGAGGAAGCCUGAUGCAGCAACGCCGCGUUCGGGAUGCCGGCCUUCGGGUUGUAAACCGCUUUCGCCUGUGACGAAGCGUGAGUGACGGUAAUGGGUAAAGAAGCACCGGCUAACUACGUG